This is a long non-coding RNA of Apodemus sylvaticus (European woodmouse), 2097 nucleotides long. RefSeq lists it as uncharacterized. The record is from RefSeq and is a predicted model, not a curated record. NCBI's taxonomy places the organism in Eukaryota, Metazoa, Chordata, Mammalia, Rodentia, Muridae. The transcript is spliced from 3 exons.
ACCCCUAGACUGGCUUCCUGUAAUGACCUCCUAAGGCAAAGCUGACCAGAGAAAACCAUUUUCUUGUCUGGCUGAGGGAUCACAAGAGGACAAAGGAUGGCCGAAGCUGCCCCAUUUCCCCCCUAAUCCGAGAUGGGUCUCGCACGGCAAGCCUGUGCUCAGUGCAUAGUCGCGUGGCUCUGUGCAGAUUCUCCGGCCGCAGCUCAGGGCUUGGUGCUCGCACCCUGCUCGCCCUUCCACCAGCGCCCGCCCGCCCGGUGCUCGCACCCUCCUCUUCCCUGCAUGCUUGUGGUGAAUGAAGCCUGAUGCCUUGCUACCUUGGUUAACAGAAAGAAGAAGCAGAAUGCUGUAGUGAAGUGCGACCUCUCCCUAACGGCCAUCGUGUGGUCUUUCUUCAGGGCUGCUUCUGCAGUAUCAGAGGGAAACUGACGACGGAGCAGCCAAUGUGCCAGUUUUCAAAGGAACAGGCUUUUUUCGUUAUGGGAAAUGAACAUGUUUGGGGACAAACAUGUCAGAAUUGUGAGGGAGAAACUUGGCAGUGAGACGGACUGUGUGAUCUGCUUGACAAGAAUUGGGAAACAAUACACCUCAGAAGCUCAGACAGUUCUCGGCUCCUGGUUCAGAACCAUGACUCAGAAGCCACACAAGGGGAAGCCACCCCUGCACCUCCGAGAGGGCCCUCUCUCCUCCAGUCUUUAUUAAGGGGCCAGCAGCCGCCAUUUCCACACAGCAAGAUAUGGCAUCUGAGGGAAAACCAGUCUAGCUCUGCUCCACCAGGCGAGGCAGGAAGUGAAAGAGAGAACGUUUGUCCUUCAAAAGGAGAAGAGUUGGGGCAAACUGUCUGAAAGGCAAAUAUUCAUAAUGACUGGGCAAUGAGGGACUCUGAGUGGCGGGAAACAGACGUGCCUUGGCAUAAACAUUGAGAUUUUUUUUUCUGGGGUUUGCCUAACCCCUGUCUUUGAAAGUUUGCCUUUUACUAGAAUAAACACGGUUUAAUAGUGAGCAAAUAUUAGUUCACAUAAUCAGAACCUGUUGAGUUGAACAGGAAACCCUGGAGGGAAGUCUGCAGGUGCUUGCACGCUAGGCUGAGAAGAGGUUCUGGGGAAGCAGAUUCCCUCCCUUUCCCCAAGGGGAGUGUCCUUGAAUGGAGCCACUGUGGAAGGAAGAGGAAAUAGACAACCUGUAGAGACUAUGAACAUCACAGGAAGGCUCGGGAUUUGUUAAUGGGGCUCCUCCAGCACGUGUGUGUGUGUGUGUGUGUGUCUGUGUGUCUGUGUGUCUGUGUGUAUGUGUGUUGUGUGUCUGUGUGUCUGUGUGUAUGUGUUGUGUGUCUAUGUGUGUCUGUGUGUGUAAAGGGUCUCCUGGGUUUUCAGUUUUGUCUAUUGUAGGAGGGGUGUGGGCAUCUCACACCCCAGCCCUAUCCCUUUCAGAAUAGGAAAUUUGUAAGCUUCCUCCACCUUAGGGUUUGAGUAUAUUAUCAACUCCAUUUCAGGUUUCACAAACUUAAGAAAGAGUUCACUCUGACUGAAGGAGGAGGAGGAAGAGGAAGAAGAGGAGGAAGAGGAAAAAGAAGAUGGAGAGGAGGAGCCAGCCUGCUUUCUCAAAUCUAGGUUCUCUCUGCAAAUGGUUUUCUUUUUCUUUUCUUUUUUAAUUACAUUUAUUUGUCCCCUUUACAACCCAAUACCUGUCCUUCCUCUCCUCCCAGUCCUCACACAAGUCCUCCCCCAAUUCUUUCUUCUCCUUCUCUUCAGUUUGUGAAAACAGACACACUUGAUCUCAUAGAACAGAAAGCGGAGAAUAGCCUUGAACUCAUCAAUACAGGGCACAACUUCCUGAGUAGAACUUGAAUGGUUCAAGACACUAAGGUCAAGAAUUAAUAAAUGGUAUCUCAUGAAACUGAAAAGCUUCAGUCAAAGGACACUGUCAUCGGGACAAAAUGACAGCCUACAGAUUGGGAAAAGAUCUUAAUUAACCCUACAUCUGACAGAGGGCUAACAUCCAAAAUAUUUCAAGAACUCAAGAAGCUAGACACGAACAAUCCAAAUAACCCAAUUAAAAGUGGGGUACAGAGCUAAACAGAAUUCUCGACAGAAGACU